UUAAAUGAUUAUCUCAGGUCAUUAUUGUUCCUCACACACGUGUUGAUAGUGAUUAAUGUAAUCCGAUUUUUCAUGCGCUCAGCAUGGGAUACUGCUGAAACCUUCUCUUAUCUUUGGUAUGUUAGGAAUGCAAUACGUCACGAUGCUAAUGACGUGCAAUAGAUGCCGGCGCAUCCUACUUGUUGUAAACAUCCGGUAAAUUGUAAACAAACGCACGUGCAUUUGUUGAUAACAGUAGUUGUGAAAGUUUAAGUAUUACAGUUGUAUUGUAUUUUAUAGUUCUGUAUAUCUUUUGUAAUCAGUUAGGUUUAGUUAUUAUAUUAGUUGUUAUUUGUUUAAACAGGUAUAGAGAAAUAUCAUUACGUAACAGAAGAAGUUGUAUUUUUGAUCAAUUGUACCAUACGCUGAGGGUAUGUUUUUGUUUGAAAUAUAUCUUACAUAAAUAAUGAUUUGUCUUUUCACUUUAUUUCUUUAAUGAUAUUAUUAAUUUAAAAUAACUGGAUGAUGGG
This 509-nucleotide long non-coding RNA is filed under the name Mytilus galloprovincialis (Mediterranean mussel). Lineage: Eukaryota; Metazoa; Mollusca; Bivalvia; Mytilida; Mytilidae. The record is from RNAcentral.